This 253-nucleotide ribosomal RNA is filed under the name uncultured bacterium. RNAcentral's name for it is "partial 16S ribosomal RNA". It matches the Rfam family "Bacterial small subunit ribosomal RNA", at positions 524 to 776 of the family's 1533-position model. The record is from RNAcentral.
UACGUAGGGUGCAAGCGUUGUCCGGAAUUAUUGGGCGUAAAGAGCUCGUAGGUGGUUUGUCGCGUCUGCUGUGAAAACUCGGGGCUUAACCCUGGGACUGCAGUGGGUACGGGCAGACUAGAGUGCGGUAGGGGAGACUGGAAUUCCUGGUGUAGCGGUGAAAUGCGCAGAUAUCAGGAGGAACACCGGUGGCGAAGGCGGGUCUCUGGGCCGAUAUUGACGCUGAGGAGCGAAGGCCAGGGGAGCAAACGGG